UAGGAAUAAGUAGUUUAGUGUCUGAAUGGA
RNAcentral lists this non-coding RNA (30 nucleotides) under Mus musculus (house mouse). Lineage: Eukaryota; Metazoa; Chordata; Mammalia; Rodentia; Muridae. The record is from RNAcentral.